GCUACGGGUGGCUGCAGUGAGGAAUAUUGGUCAAUGGACGCAAGUCUGAACCAGCCAUGCCGCGUGCAGGAAGACGGCUCUAUGAGUUGUAAACUGCUUUUGUACGAGGGUAAACACAGAUACGCGUAUCUGUCUGAAAGUAUCGUACGAGUGAGGAUCGGCUAACUCCGUGCCAGCGGCCGCGGUAAAACGGAGGAUUCAAGCGUUAUCCGGAUUUAUUGGGUUUAAAGGGUGCGUAAGCGGUAGGAUAAGUUAGAGGUGAAGUCCCGAGGUUCAACUUCGGAAUUGCUUCUGAUACUGUUCGGCUAGAGAGUAGUUGAGGUAGGCGGAAUGUAUGGUGUAGCGGUGAAAUGCGUAGAGAUCAUACAGAACACCGAUUGCGAAGGCAGCUUACCAAGCUACUUCUGACGUUGAGGCACGAAAGCGUGGGGAGCAAACAGGAUUAGAUACCCCAGUAGUC
RNAcentral lists this ribosomal RNA (460 nucleotides) under uncultured bacterium. RNAcentral describes it as "partial 16S ribosomal RNA". It matches the Rfam family "Bacterial small subunit ribosomal RNA", at positions 338 to 795 of the family's 1533-position model. The record is from RNAcentral.